Molecule: ribosomal RNA, 465 nt
Filed under: uncultured bacterium
Lineage: Bacteria
Description: partial 16S ribosomal RNA
Rfam family: Bacterial small subunit ribosomal RNA
Source: RNAcentral
CCUACUGGCGGCAGCAGUAGGGAAUUUUCGUCAAUGGGCGCAAGCCUGAACGAGCGAUGUCGCGUGAGUGAAGAAGGCCCUCGGGUCGUAAAGCUCUGUUGCGGGGGAAAAAAGGCAGCAUCCGGAUAUGGGUGCUGACUGAUGGUGCCCCGCCAGAAAGUCACGGCUAACUACGUGCCAGCAACCGCGUUAAUACGUAGGUGGCGUGCGUUGUCCGGAUUGAUUGGGCGUAAAGGGUGCGCAGGCGGUCCUGCAAGUCUGGAGUGAAACGCAGGAGCUCAACUCAUGCAUGGCAUUGGAAACUGGAGGACUGGAGAGCAGGAGAGGGCGGUGGAACGCCAUGUGUAGCGGUGAAAUGCGUAGAUAUAUGGAAGAACACCAGUGGCGAAGGCAGCCGCCUGGCCUGUUGCUGACGCUGAGGCACGAAAGCGUGGGGAGCAAAUAGGAUUAGAUACCCCUGUAGUC